This 963-nucleotide long non-coding RNA is filed under the name Mytilus galloprovincialis (Mediterranean mussel). The record is from RNAcentral. Lineage: Eukaryota; Metazoa; Mollusca; Bivalvia; Mytilida; Mytilidae.
CACCGCAUGGUAAGGGUUAAUACCUAAAAAAAAUGCUUUUGAAAUACACAUGUAGUCAAUAAGCAUUAUGCGGUAUUCUCAUCUGGUAUUCAAACAGAAGAAGACUUAAAAGCAAUAUUUGAAGCAAGUUCUGUAUUCAAUAAUACAGAUAGUGAAGACCCAUUUACCGAGACUGUCUUAGAACUUGACAUCAAGUAUGCACGAAAGAGGGCCCUUUCUGGCCAGCAGAUACAAGCUGAUUCUUCGACAAAAAAACAUUUUAACUGUUCUCUCCGAAGAUGAUAAAGUUGUCAUUCCUAUUCCGUCCAUUGAUAGGGGCCCUGUCGAUGAGAGAAACAUUGAAGGCGUGGUGAUGAAUGUGAAUGAACAUGGCGGCUCUAAACUUGGAACUAAAGUUGGACCAAAAAAAAGGAUACUUGAGUAGAAACCAUGUUCAUUUUUUUGCAAAUGCAACUUUAAAUGUGUUUGAAGUGUCAAUGAGUGAUAUGAUUGUGAGAGCAAUAUAUGAGAUAAUGAGUAAGUUAUCAUUGAGUAGAGGGCAAGAUUUUGUGCAUCGUCAAUACACCUUAUCGCUAUUUGUCCGCCAAUACUGGAUAUCACACAGGUUCCCGUAAAUUUUUGAAUGCACAAAACAAAAUAUCUGAUGCAACAAUGGAAAAGUGAUUGUUGUAUGCGUCAAAAGUUCAAGCGGCCGGGUCAGCCAGGAUUAGCGAUAAGGUGUAUGUGAGAAAGGCAGCUGUACUGAUAGACUGGGAGGUGUAAAUGUAGAAAAAUGAAAGUUUUAUAUAAUUCAAAGUGUCAAAUGUCUCUGUUUUGUAGCAAGAAUUAAAAAAAAACUUGUUUCUAAAAUGUAUGAAAAUCUAGUAUUUUAUACAUGCUGUAAAUUUUAGCAUUGUACAAAUUAUAACAUGUACAAUAUUUUUGUACAUGUUAUAACCUGUACAAAAUUGCAACUUGUACUCG